AACGAACGCUGGCGGCAUGCCUAACACAUGCAAGUCGAACGAGACCUUCGGGUCUAGUGGCUCACGGGUGCGUAACGCGUUGGAACCUGCCUUUAGGUUCGGAAUAACUCAGAGAAAUUUGAGCUAAUACCGGAUGAUGUCUUCGGACCAAAGAUUUAUCGCCUUUAGAUGGGCCCGCGUUGGAUUAGCUAGUUGGUGGGGUAAAGGCCUACCAAGGCGACGAUCCAUAGCUGGUCUGAGAGGAUGAUCAGCCACACUGGGACUGAGACACGGCCCAGACUCCUACGGGAGGCAGCAGUGGGGAAUAUUGGACAAUGGGCGAAAGCCUGAUCCAGCAAUGCCGCGUGAGUGAUGAAGGCCUUAGGGUUGUAAAGCUCUUUUACCCGAGAUGAUAAUGACAGUAUCGGGAGAAGAAGCGCCGGCUAACUCCGUG
This 433-nucleotide ribosomal RNA is filed under the name uncultured bacterium. Its description in RNAcentral is "partial 16S ribosomal RNA". It matches the Rfam family "Bacterial small subunit ribosomal RNA", at positions 29 to 507 of the family's 1533-position model. The record is from RNAcentral.